GGAGUGGGGGAUCCGGGGGAGACGAAGGUGAAGGAGCUGCGGGGCUAGUUCUGAGCCGGGAAAAGAUGGAGUGAAGGUACCUGAGCGCAGGAACCAUGGUCUUCAUUGCUGCCUCAGCAUUAGCGGAAGUGCCACGGGCCGGCUCCCAGGGGGCCAGAGUUUCCCAGGAACACCAUUGAGUACCACUGAACUAGAGUCUGCAAGUUAAAAGAGAACUUACUUGAAGGUCGAUGUUUUCUCUUGCUGAUUCCAUCUCGCUGCCCUCAAGUCCCUUCACACGCACCGGGUGCCGGGAACAGACUGCGUGGGCUCCUCCAGGCUCCGCCGUCUGAGUCUCUGCUGCUUUCUUCGGGUGGGAGAGAGCACACAGCUGGCGGGACAGACCUGCCAUUCAUCCCUCUGAUGUGGGAUGCCCGUCUUGGCUGCAGCCUCUGGGGGAGGUGUGCACCUGCACACACGUGUGAGUGUAUGUGUGUGCACAUGUGUGUGCUCCAGGAGGUGGCACAUGGCACACUGAUAGGUGACCUUUUGAGUUGGUAGUGACAGCAUCAUUUUCACCAGUGGCUCCAGUGACCUUCCAGUCCCAGCGGAGCCAUCUGAGGUCACCCAGCCUGCUUUGAGCUAGUAGCUUUAUGACUGGCAAAGAAAUCCUGCAUGUUUAUCAAGCAAAUUGAAAAACAGCCUGAGGACAACGCUAUCUGACUUCACCGCUGGGUCCAGUCCCCAGUCGCCACGGGUGGAGUGACCUCCAGCACAGUCUCAAUACUGAGGCAGAGGGAUUUCCGUUGUUCUUUGCUUUGUUCCCUAUAUCCCUAAAAGUUUUUAAAAAAAUUGUAGUUUACCUAAUAGGCUCCAAAGCAUAGGCUUUGUUCUGCAAAGUGAGUGAACAAUACGUUUUUACUGACGGAUUGUUUGAUUCCUUCAACUCCUCCCUUGAUUAGCCAUAGAGGGAGCAGGGAGUAGUUGUACCUUCGAAGCUUGUUUAUGCAAACAGUGGUAUUCUCCCUACUUUUAAAAUAAAAUUACCAGGAGGGA
This 1035-nucleotide long non-coding RNA is filed under the name Homo sapiens (human). RNAcentral describes it as "HSALNT0366042". Lineage: Eukaryota; Metazoa; Chordata; Mammalia; Primates; Hominidae. The record is from RNAcentral.